AACGAACGGUAGCGGCGUGGAUUAGGCAUGCAAGUCGGACGAGAUCCUCGCUUCGGUGAGGUGAAAGUGGCGAAAGGGUGAGUAAUGCAUAGAUAACCUUCCCCUGACUCUGGGAUAACUGGGGGAAACUCCAGCUAAAACCGGAUAGGCUCGCGUGAUCGCCUGGUCGCGCGAGUAAAGGCGGCCUCUUGGCAAUGCUUCCGGUUGGGGACGGACCUAUGUCCUAUCAGCUUGUUGGUGAGGUAACGGCUCACCAAGGCGAUGACGGGUAGCCGGCCUGAGAGGGCGAUCGGCCACACUGGGACUGAGACACUGCCCAGACUCCUACGGGAGGCUGCAGUCGAGAAUCUUCCGCAAUGGGGGCAACCCUGACGGAGCGACGCCGCGUGCGGGAGGAAGGCCUUCGGGUUGUAAACCGCUGUCACAGGUUAUGAAAGGGCCUGGUGGUAAUAUCACCAGGUUUUGACAAAGGCCUGAGAGGAAGCCACGGCUAACUUCGUGCCAGCAGCCGCGGUAAGACGAAGGUGGCAACCGUUGUUCGGAAUCACUGGGCAUAAAGCGCACGUAGGCGGAUACGUAAGUCGGGUGUGAAAUCCCUCGGCCUAACCGAGGAACUGCGCCCGAUACUGCGCGUC
This 635-nucleotide ribosomal RNA is filed under the name uncultured bacterium. RNAcentral describes it as "bacterial SSU rRNA". It matches the Rfam family "Bacterial small subunit ribosomal RNA", at positions 28 to 641 of the family's 1533-position model. The record is from RNAcentral.